GCUGGGCAUGGUAGUGUGUGCCUGUAGUCCCAGUACUUGGGAGGCUGAAGUGGGAGGAUCACUUGAGUCCAGGAGUUCUGGGCUGUGGUGUGCUAUGCCGAUCGGGUGUCUGCACUAAGUUUGGCAUCAAUAUGGUGACCUCCCGGGAGUGGGGGACCACCAGGUUGCCUAAGGAGGGGCGAACUGGCCAAAGUCAGAAACAGAGCAGGUUAAAACUCCUGUGCUGAUCAAUAGUGGGAUCGCGCCUGUGAAUAGCCACUGCACUCCAGCCUGGGCAACAUUAGAAAAAAA
This 291-nucleotide signal recognition particle RNA is filed under the name Saimiri boliviensis boliviensis (Bolivian squirrel monkey). RNAcentral describes it as "Metazoan signal recognition particle RNA (ENSSBOG00000009088.1)". It matches the Rfam family "Metazoan signal recognition particle RNA". Rfam says of the family: The signal recognition particle (SRP) is a universally conserved ribonucleoprotein. It is involved in the co-translational targeting of proteins to membranes. Lineage: Eukaryota; Metazoa; Chordata; Mammalia; Primates; Cebidae. The record is from Rfam by way of RNAcentral.